UAAUGUAUGGGGAUCUGCCCGAUAGAGGGGAAUAACUACUGGAAACGGUGGCUAAUACCGCAUAAUGUCUACGGACCAAAGCAGGGGCUCGUCGGACCUUGCACUAUCGGAUGAACCCAUAUGGGAUUAGCUAGUAGGUGGGGUAAAGGCUCACCUAGGCGACGAUCUCUAGCUGGUCUGAGAGGAUGAUCAGCCACACUGGGACUGAGACACGGCCCAG
Molecule: ribosomal RNA, 220 nt
Filed under: uncultured bacterium
Lineage: Bacteria
Description: partial 16S ribosomal RNA
Rfam family: Bacterial small subunit ribosomal RNA
Source: RNAcentral